AUUGAACGCUGGCGGCAUGCCUUACACAUGCAAGUCGAACGGCAGCACGGGAGCAAUCCUGGUGGCGAGUGGCGAACGGGUGAGUAAAGUAUCGGAACGUGCCCAGUCGUGGGGGAUAACGUAGCGAAAGUUACGCUAAUACCGCAUACGAUCUAUGGAUGAAAGCGGGGGAUCGCAAGACCUCGCGCGAUUGGAGCGGCCGAUAGCAGAUUAGGUAGUUGGUGGGGUAAAGGCUAACCAAGCCGACGAUCGGAAGCUGGUCUGAGAGGACGACCAGCCACACUGGGACUGAGACACGGCCCAGACUCCUACGGGAGGCAGCAGUGGGGAAUUUUGGACAAUGGGCGAAAGCCUGAUCCAGCCAUGCCGCGUGCAGGAUGAAGGCCUUCGGGUUGUAAACUGCUUUUGUACGGAACGAAAAGGUUUGGCCUAAUAAGCUGAGCUCAUGACGGUACCGUAAGAAUAAGCACCGGCUAACUACGUGCCAGCCGCCGCCGUAA
Molecule: ribosomal RNA, 500 nt
Filed under: uncultured bacterium
Lineage: Bacteria
Description: partial 16S ribosomal RNA
Rfam family: Bacterial small subunit ribosomal RNA
Source: RNAcentral